RNAcentral lists this long non-coding RNA (238 nucleotides) under Ananas comosus (pineapple). Its description in RNAcentral is "long non-coding RNA (ACOM_LNC004076)". The record is from RNAcentral. Lineage: Eukaryota; Viridiplantae; Streptophyta; Magnoliopsida; Poales; Bromeliaceae.
UCAGCAAAAAUUUUAAGAAAAACUUUAAAUAUUAUCACUGUAAUUUCACAUUUUUUUACUUUAGUAUUCCAUAGUUUAAAAUAUAUUAUUUUUAUAUCAAACAAUUUUAUUUUUUUACUGAUAAAGUUAAAACUAUAAUUAAAGUACUAAGGUGAAAAUUUGAUAAGCCAUAUAAUACUAAAAUGAAUAUUUGAUAAAACAUAAGUAGAGUACCUGAGACGGUGAUAUUAUUUUACGU